This 27-nucleotide non-coding RNA is filed under the name Homo sapiens (human). The record is from RNAcentral. Lineage: Eukaryota; Metazoa; Chordata; Mammalia; Primates; Hominidae.
GCUCUCAACAUACACGGGCUUGCCAGG